RNAcentral lists this ribosomal RNA (479 nucleotides) under uncultured Acidobacteriota bacterium. RNAcentral's name for it is "bacterial SSU rRNA". It matches the Rfam family "Bacterial small subunit ribosomal RNA", at positions 13 to 525 of the family's 1533-position model. The record is from RNAcentral. Lineage: Bacteria; Pseudomonadati; Acidobacteriota.
UUGAUCCUGGCUCAGAAUCAACGCUGGCGGCGUGCCUAACACAUGCAAGUCGAACGAGAAAGUGGAGCAAUCCAUGAGUACAGUGGCGUACGGGUGAGUUACACGUGACUACCUACCCUCGAGUGGGGAAUAACCUCGGGAAACCGGGGUUAAUACCGCAUAACAUCUACGGAUCAAAUGCGAAAGCAGCUUGAGGAGGUGGUCGCGGCCGAUUAGCUAGUUGGUGAGGUAAUGGCCCACCAAGGCAAUUAUCGGUAGCCGGCCUGAGAGGGCGCACGGCCACACUGGAACUGAAACACUGUCCAGACUCCUACGGGAGGCAGCAGUGGGGAAUUUUGCGCAAUGGGGGUAACCCUGACGCAGCAACGCCGCGUGGAGGAUGAAGCCCCUUGGGGUGUAUACUCCUUUCGAUCGGGACGAUUAUGACGGUACCGGAUGAAGAAGCACCGUCUAACUCUGUGCCAGCAGCCGCGGUAAUU